RNAcentral lists this ribosomal RNA (408 nucleotides) under uncultured bacterium. RNAcentral describes it as "partial 16S ribosomal RNA". It matches the Rfam family "Bacterial small subunit ribosomal RNA", at positions 28 to 526 of the family's 1533-position model. The record is from RNAcentral.
GACGAACGCUGGCGGCGUGCUUAACACAUGCAAGUCGAACGAAGUGGCGCACGGGUGAGUAACGCGUAAUCAACCUGCCCUUCAGAGGGUGACAACAGUUGGAAACGACUGCUAAUACCGCAUACUGAAGGUGGGGAUUGCGUCUGAUUUGCUAUUUGGAGGGGUAACGGCCCACCAAGGCGAUGAUCAGUAGCCGGGCUGGGGGGAUGGACGGCCACAUGGGGACUGAGACACGGCCCAGACGCCUACGGGGGGCAGCAGUGGGGGAUCUUCCGACAUGGACGAAAGGCUGACGGAGCAACGCCGCGGGGGUGAUGACGGCCUUCGGGUUGUAAAGCUCUGUUAAUCGGGACGCGGUACCGGAAUAGAAAGCAACGGCUAACUACGUGCCAGCCGCCGCGGUAAUUC